AUGAACGCUGGCGGCAUGCCUUACACAUGCAAGUCGAACGGCAGCAUGACCUAGCUUGCUAGGUUGAUGGCGAGUGGCGAACGGGUGAGUAAUGCAUCGGAACGUGCCUUUUAGUGGGGGAUAACGUAGCGAAAGUUACGCUAAUACCGCAUAUUCUCUGAGGAGGAAAGCAGGGGGCCUUCGGGCCUUGCGCUAGAAGAGCGGCCGAUGUCGGAUUAGCUAGUUGGUGAGGUAAAGGCUCACCAAGGCAACGAUCCGUAGCGGGUCUGAGAGGAUGAUCCGCCACACUGGGACUGAGACACGGCCCAGACUCCUACGGGAGGCAGCAGUGGGGAAUUUUGGACAAUGGGCGCAAGCCUGAUCCAGCCAUGCCGCGUGAGUGAAGAAGGCCUUCGGGUUGUAAAGCUCUUUCGGCUGGGAAGAAAUCGCACUCUCUAAUACAGGGUGUGGAUGACGGUACCAGCAUAAGAAGCACCGGCUAACUACGUG
This 489-nucleotide ribosomal RNA is filed under the name uncultured bacterium. RNAcentral's name for it is "partial 16S ribosomal RNA". It matches the Rfam family "Bacterial small subunit ribosomal RNA", at positions 29 to 507 of the family's 1533-position model. The record is from RNAcentral.